Molecule: long non-coding RNA, 593 nt
Organism: Ipomoea triloba (trilobed morning glory)
Lineage: Eukaryota; Viridiplantae; Streptophyta; Magnoliopsida; Solanales; Convolvulaceae
Exons: 2
Source: RefSeq, a predicted model, not a curated record
UGUUCUUGAAUUCCUCAUAUUGCAAGAUGAAUGCCAAUCCCAAUUCUCCAUUUCUCUUGGUCCUUCUGAUGAUGUCAUUUCUCUUUAUGUUUUCUUGUAUUGCUCGACAUGAUGUGUUGGUACCAGCCGAUGUUGGUAGCCAAAAAAGUGAUGGGGCUCAAGUAGGACAGGUGCCGAGGGCUCGCACAAGCUUAAUUCAAUGGUUCAAUAGGUAGUAUUUGAGAGAAGGAAAGAUACCCAGAAGAAUAACCCAGGCGAGGUAUCCGGAACCUCCUCCGAUCUGUUAUAACCCCCCAUGUUAUUCGUCAGGUAUGUCGGCAAUUAAGAGCUCAUUUGAGCAAUGAAAUAAUUUAAUUAAUAUAAUUGAAGUAAGUUUGUUGGGAGAUGGGGAAAACCUAUAGUCACUACUCACUACUUAAGUGUGUACUGAAUAAAUCCUUCUUUGUUACUCUAGUCAAUGAAGGACUAAAAAAGGAAAUCAUUAUAUAUAUUAUGAAAUAUGGUCCAACUUACCAGAUGGACUAUUGCCAUCAGGUUCAUUAUUGGUAUCCAUAACGUUCAUUAUUGGUAUGCUGAAUGCUUCAUUUUUAGUA